Molecule: transfer RNA, 155 nt
Filed under: Zymoseptoria brevis
Lineage: Eukaryota; Fungi; Ascomycota; Dothideomycetes; Mycosphaerellales; Mycosphaerellaceae
Rfam family: tRNA
About the family: Transfer RNA (tRNA) molecules are approximately 80 nucleotides in length.
Source: Rfam by way of RNAcentral
GGCCGAAUGGUCUAGUGGGCAAGACGCCACACUUCCAAACUUUCCUCCUCCUCUGUACUGACAUAUCAUAGUAUGAUUGUUGCUUCGGGAGAGUUUAUCCCUGUCCGCAAGGACAUUACUGUGACAGGCCCCGGGUUCAAAUCCCGGUUCGGCCC